Molecule: ribosomal RNA, 453 nt
Filed under: uncultured bacterium
Lineage: Bacteria
Description: bacterial SSU rRNA
Rfam family: Bacterial small subunit ribosomal RNA
Source: RNAcentral
UACGGGAGGCAGCAGUGGGGAAUAUUGCACAAUGGGCGCAAGCCUGAUGCAGCCAUGCCGCGUGUAUGAAAAAGGCCUUCGGGUUGUAAAGUACUUUCAGUCGUGAGGAAGGUGUUAAGGUUAAUAACCUUAGCAAUUGACGUUAGCGACAGAAGAAGCACCGGCUAACUCCGUGCCAGCAGCCGCGGUAAUACGGAGGGUGUAAGCGUUAAUCGGAAUUACUGGGCGUAAAGCGCACGCAGGCGGUCUGUCAAGUCGGAUGUGAAAUCCCCGGGCUCAACCUGGGAACUGCAUUCGAAACUGGCAGGCUAGAGUCUUGUAGAGGGGGUAGAAUUCCAGGUGUAGCGGUGAAAUGCGUAGAGAUCUGGAGGAAUACCGGUGGCGAAGGCGGCCCCUGGACAAAGACUGACGCUCAGGUGCGAAAGCGUGGGGAGCAAACAGGGAUUAGAUACC